AGGGUUUCGGAGAGGCACGGUUUUCAAGGCAGAGGAGAGGGGGAUGUCUAAAAAUUAGGAGGAGGUCUAUUUAUAUACAAAUGGGGGGCUAGGUUUAGCGGAAUUCCGACCCGGUUUCAACCGCGCGGUCGGAAUCGGACGAUUCCGCAUGCGGGAAUGGGUAAGUGGCUGUGUAGAGUAGUUAUCCGGAGACGAGAGGGAAAACGGGCGGCCCGGCAACGAGAAUUAAAACACCGAAAGACGUCCGACGAUAGACCGAAUAUGGUGCCGCUACGGUCGAACGCUCGGGUACCAGACGGACUCCGAUUGCGACGAAACUUGACACACGGCCUAGCUACAACUAAUUACGACCGCACGCCAAGUUCCAACACAAUCCGAGAAUGUUUUACACACACUUCUAAAACAAGGUUUCGACGAUGCCGCGAGCGCGUCCGAGUGCGGUCGGGCUCAGAACAGACAACGACGAGAACCGGCAGCUAACAAUGGAUGCAGGAUUGAAAAUUGUCGGCAACGGAGAUGCCGAUGCAAUGCUGAUGAUGCGCAUGAUGCGAUGAUGAUGCGACAAAUAAAAAUAGACACACGACGAAAACGGAAUAUAGGUGAAAUCUUCUGGAACGUCGGCAUCGGGCUGUCACAGGUUAGUGAUGAUGACCCUCA
This 657-nucleotide long non-coding RNA is filed under the name Hordeum vulgare. RNAcentral describes it as "long non-coding RNA (HVUL_LNC004655)". The record is from RNAcentral. Lineage: Eukaryota; Viridiplantae; Streptophyta; Magnoliopsida; Poales; Poaceae.